GGGAUACAGACUAGAACGCAGCGCCGCACCAAAACUGGUUUGGGCUGCUCUCUUUCCUAUUCUCCUCCUCCAUUUUUCCUCUUUUCUUUCUAUUUUAUUUUGAGAUUUGAAGGAUUACUCACCCAAAGCUUCAAGGAUUCACUACUACAGAAACUAGCUUUGGGGACACGUGGUUCAAAAUUACAAGGACACAUUUUUAAAAAGAUGUCCUUAUAACUUUUUAACGACGCCCAGGUUCUAAAUUUUUCAUUUGUCUAAAAACCGGGCAGGUCAUUUCCAUUCGAUACCCUACGAAACUUUGACUUAACCCUGAUGCUCUCUCCUCCCAGCUUUCAUCUCUCCCUCGCAGACUCACAGCCGCAGCUAUCACUGAGAACCCAUAUCGAUAACCUUCAUGGAUCUCUAUUUGGCAGUCGUUUUCUCUUCUUCGUCUUCGAUUAACACUUCUCUGGUAAGGAUGAGUCACGUACUUCUCUGGAACUUUCAUUAUCAGAACUCUCUCUCUACCCCUUGGGCAUUCUCGUGUUCUACCUCUAAGAAUGAUUUCAACCAGGUUUAUCUUCUAAUCUUGCUUUAAUUUCAAUUCCGUGCUUCUAGGGUUUAAAUCUUUGAACAUAUUAGUAGCAAGACUGACUUGAUUUAUGCAAUAAAUAUAUUACAGAUCUACUUUUUCAAACCGAAAUAUCGCAUCCAUUACCCUAAUCAUCGUAUCUUUUGUAAUGUCAGAAUAUUUCCCCCAUAUUCUAGUUCUCUUAAUUUCAUACCAAGGAUCAGUCGAUGCUAAAGUUGCUAAAGAGUCAACAUUUAAAACAAGGACCAACGAGGGGAACUGUUGGUAAUGAUUCUAAUGAACCUUAGUCUACAAAAUCAAAGAAAACUUACUGUUAUACAUCAGAAUUAAGUUAUAAGAUGCUGCUAAAACUCAAAGUCUUUUUUAUUGUUACUUAAGUUGUAUAAAAAUUGAUGAUAUUUCUGGAGUUCGUGAUCCCUUAAUUUGGGUUCGAGGAUCUGGAAUGCUAGAUUUCCCUCUCUUGAUUGAUAGUGUUUUACUGUUACUAUGUUUUCAUGUUCAUAUAUUAGCUUAGGUUUCUGAAUCGAAGCUGCAACACUCAUUUUCCAAAUGCUGACUGAUGCAUGAAUUAGUGUGCAGACCAUAUGGUUACAGAAUAAACUACCACGGCCAGGCGGCAAUGAUGAAAAUUGACAAAGAAAAUAGUAAUCUUGACAUCAGGAUUGAAGCUUCACAUUGUGUCACCAGAUUGUAACCUAUAUAAUAAUGGAUGGAGACUUGGUUUGCCCUGCAAAGAUGGUGCAAAGAUGGGAAGAUCUGUAGAGGUUGAGGACUAGCAAAAGAAAGUUCAAAAAGCCAGUAAAGUACAUUAACUACCGGGAUUAUAUACGGUAAUUACUUUUGCCUAUGUCCUAAGUUUGGGAUCAUACAGAUUACAUUUCAAAAUAUGACUGCUUUAUAGGGGCAAAUCACAUAGUUCCAGAUGGAACUUUGUUUUGCUUCUUUCUUUAGCCUCUGCCAAAAGUGCAUGAUUUGCCUUAAGAAAAUCUAUCUUAGUUAUUAUGGUAUAGGUGAUAUGUGGGCGGAGUUUCAAAUAAGUUUAUAUCUUAGAAAAUGGAAUCAAUAAUACUGUGGUAUGUUAUUUAUGCAAUUGAGGACUUUCUAUGAAAAGGCUAGAAGGUUUAUGGUGCCAUGCCCUCUACUUAUUACGUUCUAACUCUUGCUUGUGUUUCCAAACAACUGAUGUUGUACAUUCUUUCACUAAUAAUUAUGUUAUAGGUGCUUACUGUCUCCAACUGUGUGUGAUUCAAAUUCAUUUAUAUACGUGUGGGAAUUUGAUUUCGUCUACCCCUAAAGAAAAUGCAGUAAUAUAAGUUCUCUUCUUAGUCAAAUUGAGUGGUAAAACAUAUAUUUCUUCUCUGUUAAUUGAUAAACUGCAAUUUUGACAAGAUUGGACAACUAUCUACAACAAUAUUGUUGAUUUUCUGGUAUAGGUCUUGUGAUUGAAGAUUGAAUUUUCUGCUUUAGUCAUAUCGUUGCUUUUCUGAAACUAUUGUAAUAUAGGUACUUCUACCCAUCAAUUUUAGCUUCAUGAGUAUCAAAAACUAAAAAGACAUGCUAAGUACCAGCUUGAGUUUCUUCAGGUGUUUCCUCUUUGUCAUCAGUCUAUUUACAUGUUCCACGCGCAUGAUGCUCCUCUAGGUGUAGGCAUUUGAAUUAGUACGUUGCUUCAUGCUAUGAAUAGAUUACAUAAGAUUAGAAUGUAUAACUAGGAAUUAGUUGCUACAAUGUGCUUGUAGUCAAGUAUAUUGUAAUGAGUAAUAGCAUUUGUUUUGGGAUUGUAAAGAUGAUUUUUAUGUAAAUGUCUUUUUUUCCUUUCAA
Long non-coding RNA from Rosa rugosa (rugosa rose), 2392 nucleotides. RefSeq lists it as uncharacterized. The transcript has 4 exons. NCBI's taxonomy places the organism in Eukaryota, Viridiplantae, Streptophyta, Magnoliopsida, Rosales, Rosaceae. The record is from RefSeq and is a predicted model, not a curated record.